GUCACUAUGUAAAGGUGAUGAUGAUAAA
Molecule: small RNA, 28 nt
Filed under: Arabidopsis thaliana (thale cress)
Lineage: Eukaryota; Viridiplantae; Streptophyta; Magnoliopsida; Brassicales; Brassicaceae
Description: ATSL050680
Source: RNAcentral